AGCAGCCGCGGUAAUUCCAGCUCCAAUAGCGUAUAUUAAAGUUGUUGCAGUUAAAAAGCUCGUAGUUGAAUUUCGGGAUCAAUACGUCGGUCGUGCUUCGGUACGUACUAACGUCAUUGAUUUCUCCCUUCUGACGAAUCGUGAUGUCAUUAAUUUGGUGUUACGGGGAGUUAGGACUGUUACUUUGAAAAAUUAGAGUGUUUAAAGCAAGCAAUCGCUCGAAUACAUUAGCAUGGAAUAAUGAAAUAGGACGUUCGAACCUAUUUUGUUGGUUUCUAGGAUCGACGUAAUGAUUAAUAGGGAUAGUUGGGGGCAUUCGUAUUCAAUUGUCAGAGGUGAAAUUCUUGGAUUUAUUGAAGACUAACUACUGCGAAAGCAUUUGCCAAGGAUGUUUUCAUUAAUCAAGAGCGAAAGUUGGGGGGAUCGAAGACGAUCAGAUACCGUCGUAGUCUUAACCAUAAACUAUGCCGAACUAGGGAUCGGAUGAUGUUAAUUUUAUAAUGACUCGUUCGGCGCCUUA
This 520-nucleotide ribosomal RNA is filed under the name uncultured Glomus. Its description in RNAcentral is "SSU rRNA". It matches the Rfam family "Eukaryotic small subunit ribosomal RNA", at positions 569 to 1090 of the family's 1831-position model. Lineage: Eukaryota; Fungi; Glomeromycota; Glomeromycetes; Glomerales; Glomeraceae. The record is from RNAcentral.